GAGGGGUAUAGUGGUGUUACUGCUAAUAACACAGAGGGUGUAAAAGUCCACCUCUYU
Molecule: transfer RNA, 57 nt
Filed under: Cichlidogyrus casuarinus
Lineage: Eukaryota; Metazoa; Platyhelminthes; Monogenea; Dactylogyridea; Ancyrocephalidae
Description: tRNA-Ser
Source: RNAcentral